This 84-nucleotide transfer RNA is filed under the name Candidatus Iainarchaeum sp. Its description in RNAcentral is "tRNA-Leu". It matches the Rfam family "tRNA". Rfam says of the family: Transfer RNA (tRNA) molecules are approximately 80 nucleotides in length. Their secondary structure includes four short double-helical elements and three loops (D, anti-codon, and T loops). The record is from RNAcentral. Lineage: Archaea; Nanobdellati; Candidatus Iainarchaeota; Candidatus Iainarchaeia; Candidatus Iainarchaeales; Candidatus Iainarchaeaceae.
GCAGGGAUUGGGGAGCGGUCAAACCUCCCGGCUUCAGGAGCCGGCCGCUUAGUGCGUUCGGCGGUUCGAAUCCGCCUCCCUGCA